RNAcentral lists this ribosomal RNA (1500 nucleotides) under Psychrobacter sp. enrichment culture clone IC2-14. Its description in RNAcentral is "bacterial SSU rRNA". It matches the Rfam family "Bacterial small subunit ribosomal RNA". The record is from RNAcentral. Lineage: Bacteria; Pseudomonadati; Pseudomonadota; Gammaproteobacteria; Moraxellales; Moraxellaceae.
AGAGUUUGAUCCUGGCUCAGAUUGAACGCUGGCGGCAGGCUUAACACAUGCAAGUCGAGCGGAAACGAUGAUAGCUUGCUAUCAGGCGUCGAGCGGCGGACGGGUGAGUAAUACUUAGGAAUCUACCUAGUAGUGGGGGAUAGCACGGGGAAACUCGUAUUAAUACCGCAUACGACCUACGGGAGAAAGGGGGCAGUUUACUGCUCUCGCUAUUAGAUGAGCCUAAGUCGGAUUAGCUAGAUGGUGGGGUAAAGGCCUACCAUGGCGACGAUCUGUAGCUGGUCUGAGAGGAUGAUCAGCCACACCGGGACUGAGACACGGCCCGGACUCCUACGGGAGGCAGCAGUGGGGAAUAUUGGACAAUGGGGGAAACCCUGAUCCAGCCAUGCCGCGUGUGUGAAGAAGGCCUUUUGGUUGUAAAGCACUUUAAGCAGUGAAGAAGACUCCGUGGUUAAUACCCACGGACGAUGACAUUAGCUGCAGAAUAAGCACCGGCUAACUCUGUGCCAGCAGCCGCGGUAAUACAGAGGGUGCAAGCGUUAAUCGGAAUUACUGGGCGUAAAGGGAGCGUAGGUGGCUCGAUAAGUCAGAUGUGAAAUCCCCGGGCUCAACCUGGGAACUGCAUCUGAUACUGUUGAGCUAGAGUAUGUGAGAGGAAGGUAGAAUUCCAGGUGUAGCGGUGAAAUGCGUAGAGAUCUGGAGGAAUACCGAUGGCGAAGGCAGCCUUCUGGCAUAAUACUGACACUGAGGCUCGAAAGCGUGGGUAGCAAACAGGAUUAGAUACCCUGGUAGUCCACGCCGUAAACGAUGUCUACUAGUCGUUGGGUCCCUUGAGGACUUAGUGACGCAGCUAACGCAAUAAGUAGACCGCCUGGGGAGUACGGCCGCAAGGUUAAAACUCAAAUGAAUUGACGGGGGCCCGCACAAGCGGUGGAGCAUGUGGUUUAAUUCGAUGCAACGCGAAGAACCUUACCUGGUCUUGACAUAUCUAGAAUCCUGCAGAGAUGCGGGAGUGCCUUCGGGAAUUAGAAUACAGGUGCUGCAUGGCUGUCGUCAGCUCGUGUCGUGAGAUGUUGGGUUAAGUCCCGCAACGAGCGCAACCCUUGUCCUUAGUUACCAGCGGGUUAAGCCGGGAACUCUAAGGAUACUGCCAGUGACAAACUGGAGGAAGGCGGGGACGACGUCAAGUCAUCAUGGCCCUUACGACCAGGGCUACACACGUGCUACAAUGGUAGGUACAGAGGGCAGCUACACAGCGAUGUGAUGCGAAUCUCAAAAAGCCUAUCGUAGUCCAGAUUGGAGUCUGCAACUCGACUCCAUGAAGUAGGAAUCGCUAGUAAUCGCGGAUCAGAAUGCCGCGGUGAAUACGUUCCCGGGCCUUGUACACACCGCCCGUCACACCAUGGGAGUUGAUUGCACCAGAAGUGGAUAGCUUAACCUUCGGGGAGGCGUUCACCACGGUGUGGUUGAUGACUGGGGUGAAGUCGUAACAAGGUAACC